ACGACCGUACCGCAAACCGACACUGGUGCGCGAGAUGAGUAUUCUAAGGCGCUUGAGAGAACUCGGGAGAAGGAACUCGGCAAAUUGACACCGUAACUUCGGAAGAAGGUGUGCCUUUAGUAGGUGAAGGGAUUUACUCCUGGAGCCCAAUGAGGUUGCAAAAAAUCGGUGGCUGCGACUGUUUAUUAAAAACACAGCACUCUGCAAACACGAAAGUGGACGUAUAGGGUGUGACGCCUGCCCGGUGCUGGAAGAUUAAAUGAUGGGGUGCAAGCUCUUGAUUGAAGUCCCAGUAAACGGCGGCCGUAACGAUAACGGUCCUAAGGUAGCGAAAUUCCUUGUCGGGUAAGUUCCGACCUGCACGAAUGGCGUAACGAUGGCCACACUGUCUCCUCCCGAGACUCAGCGAAGUUGAAAUGUUUGUGAUGAUGCAAUCUCCCCGCGGAAAGACGGAAAGACCCCAUGAACCUUUACUGUAGCUUUGUAUUGGACUUUGAACAGAUCUGUGUAGGAUAGGUGGGAGGCUUUGAAGCAGGGUCGCUAGAUCUUGUGGAGCCAACGUUGAAAUACCACCCUGGUGCGUUUGAGGUUCUAACCUAGGUCCAUUAUCUGGAUCGGGGACAGUGCAUGGUAGGCAGUUUGACUGGGGCGGUCUCCUCCCAAAGCGUAACGGAGGAGUUCGAAGGUACGCUAGGUACGGUCGGACAUCGUGCUAAUAGUGCAAUGGCAUAAGCGUGCUUAACUGCGAGACUGACAAGUCGAGCAGAUGCGAAAGCAGGACAUAGUGAUCCGGUGGUUCUGUAUGGAAGGGCCAUCGCCCAACGGAUAAAAGGUACUCUGGGGAUAACAGGCUGAUACCGCCCAAGAGUUCAUAUCGACGGCGGUGUUUGGCACCUCGAUGUCGGCUCAUCUCAUCCUGGGGCUGUAGCCGGUCCCAAGGGUAUGGCUGUUCGCCAUUUAAAGAGGUACGUGAGCUGGGUUUAAAACGUCGUGAGACAGUUUGGUCCCUAUCUUCCGUGGGCGCUGCAGAUUUGAGGAAGCCUGCUCCUAGUACGAGAGGACCGGAGUGGACGCACCUCUGGUGUAUCGGUUGUCACGCCAGUGGCAUUGCCGAGUAGCUAUGUGCGGAAGAGAUAACCGCUGAAAGCAUCUAAGCGGGAAACUCGUUUCAAGAUGAGAUCUGCCGGGGCCUUGAGCCCCCUAAAGAGUCGUUCAAGACCAGGACGUUGAUAGGUCAGGUGUGGAAGCGCAGUAAUGCGUUAAGCUAACUGAUACUAAUUGCUCGUGCGGCUUGACCCA
RNAcentral lists this ribosomal RNA (1299 nucleotides) under metagenome. RNAcentral's name for it is "bacterial LSU rRNA". It matches the Rfam family "Bacterial large subunit ribosomal RNA", at positions 1638 to 2925 of the family's 2925-position model. The record is from RNAcentral.